Molecule: ribosomal RNA, 43 nt
Filed under: Fusarium redolens
Lineage: Eukaryota; Fungi; Ascomycota; Sordariomycetes; Hypocreales; Nectriaceae
Description: partial 18S ribosomal RNA
Source: RNAcentral
UACCGUUAAAGUCUCGUUGGUGACCAGCGGAGGGAUCAUUACC